Molecule: ribosomal RNA, 916 nt
Filed under: uncultured bacterium
Lineage: Bacteria
Description: bacterial SSU rRNA
Rfam family: Bacterial small subunit ribosomal RNA
Source: RNAcentral
AGUUUGAUCCUGGCUCAGGAUGAACGCUAGCUACAGGCUUAACACAUGCAAGUCGAGGGGAAACGAUAGAGAAAGCUUGCUUUUUCUAGGCGUCGACCGGCGCACGGGUGAGUAACGCGUAUCCAACCUGCCCAUCACUUGGGGAUAACCUUGCGAAAGUAAGACUAAUACCCAAUGAUAUCUCUAGAAGACAUCUGAAGGAGAUUAAAGAUUUAUCGGUGAUGGAUGGGGAUGCGUCUGAUUAGCUUGUUGGCGGGGUAACGGCCCACCAAGGCGACGAUCAGUAGGGGUUCUGAGAGGAAGGUCCCCCACAUUGGAACUGAGACACGGUCCAAACUCCUACGGGAGGCAGCAGUGAGGAAUAUUGGUCAAUGGGCGAGAGCCUGAACCAGCCAAGUAGCGUGCAGGGUGACGGCCCUAUGGGUUGUAAACUGCUUUUAUAAGGGAAUAAAGUGAGAGUCGUGACUCUUUUUGCAUGUACCUUAUGAAUAAGGACCGGCUAAUUCCGUGCCAGCAGCCGCGGUAAUACGGAAGGUCCGGGCGUUAUCCGGAUUUAUUGGGUUUAAAGGGAGCGUAGGCCGGAGAUUAAGCGUGUUGUGAAAUGUAGACGCUCAACGUCUGCACUGCAGCGCGAACUGGUUUCCUUGAGUACGCACAAAGUGGGCGGAAUUCGUGGUGUAGCGGUGAAAUGCUUAGAUAUCACGAAGAACUCCGAUUGCGAAGGCAGCUCACUGGAGCGCAACUGACGCUGAAGCUCGAAAGUGCGGGUAUCGAACAGGAUUAGAUACCCUGGUAGUCCGCACGGUAAACGAUGGAUGCCCGCUGUUGGUCUGAAUAGGUCAGCGGCCAAGCGAAAGCAUUAAGCAUCCCACCUGGGGAGUACGCCGGCAACGGUAAAACUCAAAGGAAUUGACGG